Non-coding RNA from Pseudonaja textilis, 1191 nucleotides. NCBI's taxonomy places the organism in Eukaryota, Metazoa, Chordata, Lepidosauria, Squamata, Elapidae. The record is from RefSeq and is a predicted model, not a curated record.
CAACUUUCACGGGCGGGCAGCGGCCAUCUUACGAAAGGCUUUGGCGCGCGGGGCAGUCGGGGAGGCUUAGGAUUGUGCUGGCUUCGUCGCAGCCCGCGCUUUGGAAGAAUGCCUCCCAAGGGGCGAAAAAGGAAGGCAAAGAUUCCUCAAGCAGAAGCCACAGCAUCCAAUGGAGAGGGAACCAGUGAUGUUAAAAAAUUGCCCAAGAUCCAGAAGACUGAAGGAUCGGGAGACCUUCAUGUGACCAUUGAGCACUGUAAAAGCUGACGAGUCUUUGGACGCACAGCUGAGGCUAUCAGCCAAGAGCUGUGCCUGGCCUUUCCUGACAUCUGUGUGGAGGUCAACCUUGAAAAACCCCGGAGAAAUAGCUUUGAAGUGGUUCUCUUGAAAAAGGAUGGCACCAAAAUAGAGCUAUGGAGUGGUCUUAAAAAAGGGCCACCCCGCAAAUUGAAAUUCCCAGAACCCAGCCACAUCGUUGAAAUGGUGAAGCUCAACUUACUAAAGUCAACAGUGAUGGAGUAGGAACAAAGUGCCUCUAUGACUGUCCGUUCCUCCUGUGAACUGGAGCAUUCAUGAUGAGAUAUGAUGAAGUGGGGUAAAGAAACUCUGGUCGUAUCUCUGAAACUGCUGCCCGCCCCUCCUUUGCAAGGAAGAAUGGACCAAAUAUUAUCCUUUCCUGCCCCACCAUCCUUUCAAAUGUUUGUUACUUCUGAGAACAUUUUGGGGAAGAACUUGAUUUUCAGUAAAACUUAACCGCCUCCUCUAUCUCGUUUAGUUCUGUCCUGUGAAAUAAAAGUAUGAGGUUCUCUCACAUACAACUCCCAAGUAUACACAUGAUUUCUGAAAACAUUUCAUUUUAUUUUGCUAUUGCACUUUCAUCCCUCCAGUGGCUUUAGAUCACCAUGCUAAUAUUUUGUCCUGUAUUUUUUCCCCAGUAAAACCUAAAUGUGUACUUGUUUGCUAGUGGCAUUUUAGAAGUUAUACUUAAAAUCUCUACAGUAUUUGGUCCCUUGCUAUCUAGAAUUGAAGGAAAUAAUCCAAAGCCAAAAGUAUUGGGAUUGUUUUGGCAGAGAAAAGGAUUUCUUCACAACUACUACUUUUAUUUUGCCUUUUCCUUAUUUCCUUGAUCAUGACAGAAUGAAGAACCCUGAAAACCUAAGUCUCUCCUCUGCAAUGUUUUGUUCUUUUUUU